Molecule: ribosomal RNA, 253 nt
Filed under: uncultured bacterium
Lineage: Bacteria
Description: partial 16S ribosomal RNA
Rfam family: Bacterial small subunit ribosomal RNA
Source: RNAcentral
UACGUAGGGUGCAAGCGUUGUCCGGAAUCAUUGGGCGUAAAGCGCGCGUAGGUGGCUUUGUAAGUCCGUUGUGAAAGUCAGAGGCUCAACCUUUGAAUGCCGAUGGAUACUGCAGAGCUAGAGUACGGAAGAGGCGAGUGGAAUUCCUGGUGUAGCGGUGGAAUGCGCAGAUAUCAGGAGGAACACCAAUAGCGAAGGCAGCUCGCUGGGACGUUACUGACACUAAGGCGCGAAAGCGUGGGGAGCGAACAGG